AUGGUUUAUGCCAUGAUAAGUAUAGGUGUUCUUGGAUUUCUAGUUUGGGCUCAUCAUAUGUUUACUGUGGGCUUAGACGUUGAUACGCGUGCCUACUUCACCGCAGCUACCAUGAUCAUAGUUGUGCCCACAGGAAUCAAAAUCUUUAGUUGGAUCGCUACCAUGUGGGGAGGUUCGAUACAAUACAAAACACCCAUGUUAUUUGCUGUAGGGUUCAUCUUUUUGUUCACCAUAGGAGGGCUCACUGGAAUAGUUCUAGCAAACUCUGGGCUAGACAUUGCUCUACAUGAUACUUAUUAUGUGGUUGCACAUUUCCAUUAUGUACUUUCUAUGGGAGACGUUUUUGCUUUAUUUGCUGGAUUUUACUAUUGGGUGGGUAAAAUCUUUGGUCGGACAUAUCCUGAAACUUUAGGCCAAAUCCAUUUUUGGAUCACUUUUUUCGGGGUUAAUCUGACCUUCUUUCCCAUGCAUUUCUUAGGGCUUUCGGGUAUGCCACGUCGCAUUCUAGAUUAUCCAGAUGCUUACGCUGGAUGGAAUGCUCUGAGUAGUUUCGGUUCUUAUAUAUCCGUAGUUGGGAUUCGUCGUUUCUUCGUAGUUGUCGCAAUCACUUCAAGCGGUGGAAAGAACCAAAAAUGUGCGGAAAGUCCUUGGGCUGUUGAACAGAAUCCAACCACACUAGAAUGGUUGGUACAAAGCCCUCCGGCCUUUCAUAUUUUUGGAGAACUUCCUGAGGUAAAAGAGACAAAAAGCUAA
RNAcentral lists this ribosomal RNA (753 nucleotides) under Triticum aestivum (bread wheat). RNAcentral's name for it is "partial small subunit ribosomal RNA". Lineage: Eukaryota; Viridiplantae; Streptophyta; Magnoliopsida; Poales; Poaceae. The record is from RNAcentral.